UUUAAGGGCAACUCUAAGUUAUCGUGUUCAACUUUGAUCAUCCAUCUUAUUUAUAUAUUUUUAUGAUUAGUAUUUUUAUUGUUAUUAGAUGAUAAAACAUGAAUCAUAUUUUAUGUGUGACUUAUGUUUUUUAUUUUUUAAAAUAAAUUUUAAAUAAGAUGAUUACAUACAAAAAUUUAUACCUACGCUUAAA
Oryza punctata is the source of this 193-nucleotide non-coding RNA. The record is from Rfam. Lineage: Eukaryota; Viridiplantae; Streptophyta; Magnoliopsida; Poales; Poaceae.